AGCAUGUCUACAAGAAUAUGCGUGAAAGUGAUUUACAUGUCAACCGUACUAAUGAUGGGCCCUGACGUGUGUCUCCUUGGUGAUUUUCAACCCAGCCAUGUGAACAACGAAGUUUAACCACCAUACAGAGGAACACAGAGAAGAGUCACUACUUAUGCAAGAGGACGAACCAGAAAACUUGAUGGCUUCAAAAGAAAAUGAAGAAGACGUUUAUCCCCUUGGAAGGUGGAGUGGGCUGUGUGCGUAUCCACCCAUCGGCUGUUAUUCUGACCUGGUGAAAGUGAGCGGCCAUUACCAACCAGAAGACAGAAAGCAGAUCUGGUGAAGUCUAGCAGGACAAGCCAUUGUUGACUGGGAGAAGAGACACACAAACUGCCACAACAGGCUUGUGAAGAAAAUCUGUUAUAUUAAAGUCCAGCCAUAAAACAGACAAUAAAUGAAACUGCAACCACAUCACGGAGGAGCUAGUAGCUGUGGAUGCUGACAGGCUCACACAUUGACUGUGCCACAUGUACAGGGUGCAGGAGUUCUGGGUACCUACCACCUUGCUUCAGGAAAACCCUGUUUUCAACAGCUCAAAGACAAAAAUGGACUUAAGUAACUAUAGCAAACAAUCCAUUGCAACAGAUUUUCCCAAGUUUUAUUUGGAUGAAACAGAAUAUAAUUCUCACUUGAUUCAAUUUUUACUUUAAAACUUUUAAGGAUCUAAUUCCAACUUACAUGUUAAACACCGGAAGCACAUUAAGACAGGCCAGCAAUAAUUUUUAAAUGUCAAUUCAGCUUAGUAGAAAAAAGCAAUUGAUGUGCUUCGGGGAUGAGUCGAACUUGUUUUUACUUGCUGCAUUAGAGCUUGCAAUUCUGUUUAAUUGGCAUGUAAUUUAAUUGCCACGUAAGUUAUUUAAUUAUGCACUAUAAAUGGGAAGUGUUGUUUGCAGGCAUCAUAUCUCUUUGUUGAAAUUUGGAAUGCCAGCUCUUUCUCUGGUCUCCUGUUUAUCUCUGAUCCAUUUCUCUAGGUCAUCUGUGUUCUGUUAUGUGACAUAUUAACUGAUUUUGUCAUUGUUUCUAGCAGACGUGUGUGUAUACAUUUGUAUUUUCCAUUUUAGCCACUAAUUAUGCAAGCCCAGACAUUAAUCUUAUCCAGUAAUAAGAAUAGAGGCACCAAGGCCUGUGUCAUUUCUUCGUUGAGUUAUAAUUGUGUCAUUUCUUUGUUGAGUUUUAAUUGUGUCAUUUCUUCGUUGAGUUAUAAUAUCUCCUGUUUCAGGUCAGCAGACUGUACAUUCUUUCCAAAUUCUAGUUUGUUCCUAUGGAAGAUUUAACAUAAAUGUGACCACCACUGAUGGUUAUAUUUUUAAAGUAUCAAAGUAGUAGGGCCAGAAGAGGGUGGUGUAGAGUGUCACCUUCCUAACUGGGCCUCAUUGGGGAAAGACUCAUAUGGGUUACAUAUGGAAUAAUUAGUACUCAUCCGAUUAUGAAGGAGAACACACUGGCUGAGUCUUGUGAUUCCACACAAUCCUGGCACAUAAAGUAAUUUUAAAAAAAUCUUUAGCUUUCUCCUAUAAGUAUCCCAUAAAUAAAGGUUCGAUGAGUGGAUGGAUACCAAUGAUCUAUUGUCAUGCCUGACUCCACUGCUCUGUUGGGUUUAGGUAGAGAUUUGUCUGGAAAAUUUUGUUUGGUAUAAGGAAGAAAAUAGUACCUGCCACAAAUCAAGCAGUUUGGUAAAUCAGGA
RNAcentral lists this long non-coding RNA (1726 nucleotides) under Cricetulus griseus (Chinese hamster). RNAcentral describes it as "lncRNA (ENSCGRG00015036386.1)". Lineage: Eukaryota; Metazoa; Chordata; Mammalia; Rodentia; Cricetidae. The record is from RNAcentral.